Transfer RNA from Neurospora crassa OR74A, 82 nucleotides. It matches the Rfam family "tRNA". From Rfam's summary of the family: Transfer RNA (tRNA) molecules are approximately 80 nucleotides in length. The record is from Rfam. Lineage: Eukaryota; Fungi; Ascomycota; Sordariomycetes; Sordariales; Sordariaceae.
GACGUGGUGGCGGAGUGGUCUAACGCGCCAGACUUGAAAUCUGGUUCCCUAGGGAGCGUCUGUUCGAAUCAGGCCCACGUCG